GUUCUGUGAGUGUGUGUUCUUCAUCAUGAUUAGCGCAUAACAUGACUUGUUUUUUUUCUCAGAUUACACCUCUCUACGUCAAGUAGGGUUAACCAUCGCUGCGGUUCUCUUUGUGAUGGGAAUCAUGGUGCUUGGUUGUGGCAAAGUGAAACGAAUACCACGGUGUCAUAUUGGCAAAGGAAGCUCAUACAGGGUGACCAGAAGUUAGCACUUCUCUCAGCAUUGAUCAGCUGGCUCGGCAAUAAACAGAGGAACAGCAGGAAAACACAAAGGAGCCAGUCAGACCUGUUUCCACAGCGGUUACAGACUUACAUUUCCCCCUUGUGAGAACAACAUCAUAAGGACAAGAUGGAGAGGUCGUGUGUGUGAGCGUGUUCUUUAUUUCAAACUGAUCUCCGGGUUUGUCACACAGAGGAGCCGGGGAAUAAGAUGUGUGCUAUCGUGCGGCACUAAACGCCAGCGGUAACACAACGGCUGGGACUUCGGCAGAUCCCAGCGUAAUCACGCGUCUCAGACACAAAGUCCCUUCAUCCCUCUGCUCUCCUGCACCAAACUGCUCGGUUUAAGUGUCAAACUUUGUACAACGUAGACCUGUACUUGUGUUUUAUUAUCAUUAUUAUUUCAAUACUGUGCAUCCUCAGAUGUGUCUAUCUUUUGGAAACGGCAAGAAGCGUUGUGUGGCUCACAAGUGCCCUCAAGAGGCCUUCAGACACAUUUAUUAUGAGUUCUCCCAAGAGGAGAGAAUAAAAACGGUUUGGCUCAGUCUGUUUAGAGAUUC
This 778-nucleotide long non-coding RNA is filed under the name Sinocyclocheilus grahami. RNAcentral describes it as "lncRNA (ENSSGRG00000000343.1)". The record is from RNAcentral. Lineage: Eukaryota; Metazoa; Chordata; Actinopteri; Cypriniformes; Cyprinidae.